AUUAAUAAUAUCAAAAUGAAUAUAUCUUGCGUUUCUCGAACAAAUUUGGGCUCAUAAAUAUUUGAUAUUUUAAGAUGUCUAUGCCGCUUAAUUAAAAGUUAAUAAGAUUGAAAUUUCGUAUCAAGAAUUCCUGAGGUUUUCUAUAUGAUGUUCAUGCUUUUCAUGUAGCCACCAACAUUAAUCGGUCAGUUGAUAUAAAAAAUUACGUUACUUAUCAACGACUCUCAUGAGCUCCUAGUACUAAAAUUGUAAUUUUUGUCCGAAACACUAAAAAAAAGAUGUCUGGCCAUUGUCAAACUACACGAGGAACUGAAAACAUAUUGUACUUGAAUGCCGCAAAACGAUACUGAAGGCAAUAGACUGACCAUUGGUCCACAAGAAAAUUUAUCAAACUAACUUUAUAACAUAGUAAAAACCUUAAAAUUCAUCGAAGCAGUACAAAUUAGAGACAAGAUUUAAUAUUUCUUUUUAUCCGAUUGCAAAGAAACUUUGGUAAAUGUUCGAGCACGGUAUUAAGUAAGAUUAUCCAUAAAUAAGUUACCGGUAUAUCAUAAACAAAUAUUAAAGGAGUUCGCUGCCCUUGAAAAUGAAUAAAAUUAAACUCAUGAUAAAACAUCUUUUACCCUUAAAAUAAUUUGCAUGCAGUGGUACGCAGUAAAAAAUGCCGAACCGACAUCAAACAUUUGUAGCAUUAUUGAUACUACUAUUCUUUUUUAUCGAGUCAUACUUGGCAAAGAAUCGUAAUUGUAGCUGAAUGAUAAUCUAAUGAUAUUAGAUUAUAUACAUAUUUAAAUACAAAUCGUGAUACAAAGUUAUACAUAGUCGUUCAACUCAACCAGUCAUAAUAUUUGAAGAGAGUUUGGUAAAUUUUUUUUGGACAGAUGGUAAUUUUUUUUAUUGGAAGAGAGACAGAAUCCCAAUAAACCUGUACUCUAAGAACUUAUUCAACAAAUUAUUAAAAAAAUCUUAUUGUAUAACUUUAAUUUGAUACUAGUCAAAAUAUUUAAAAAUAAAACAUUAAUAAAAUCAACAAAUUAAUUAUUA
Long non-coding RNA from Daktulosphaira vitifoliae (grape phylloxera), 1044 nucleotides. RefSeq lists it as uncharacterized. The record is from RefSeq and is a predicted model, not a curated record. Lineage: Eukaryota; Metazoa; Arthropoda; Insecta; Hemiptera; Phylloxeridae. The transcript is spliced from 3 exons.